Molecule: small nucleolar RNA, 103 nt
Organism: Saimiri boliviensis boliviensis (Bolivian squirrel monkey)
Lineage: Eukaryota; Metazoa; Chordata; Mammalia; Primates; Cebidae
Product: small nucleolar RNA U13
Source: RefSeq, a predicted model, not a curated record
AUCCUUUUGUAGUUUAUAAGCCUAAUGAUUGGAUUUUCAUGCUCAUGUGUGAGAUAUUCCUCCCUCAUCCUUGUUAAUAUGUUGGCACAUUUCCCAUCUGACA